Molecule: long non-coding RNA, 1283 nt
Organism: Canis lupus familiaris (dog)
Lineage: Eukaryota; Metazoa; Chordata; Mammalia; Carnivora; Canidae
Exons: 3
Source: RefSeq, a predicted model, not a curated record
CACCGCAGAGCGCGUCUUGCACCAGCCCGGUGCGAGUGGUGGUCGCGGGGACUCCCGGGCGGCGGGGUGUGCGUUGGGGUGGCUCAGCCCCCCCGGUGAGUUAGUAGCAGUCAGGGGAAGAAGGCGGCGCUAGGUGAGGCGGAGGCGGGCUCUGAGGAUGGAGCUGCCGCCCAGAGUGAAGAGCCCCGAGCUCGUGGGGCGGGAGCCCCAGCCCCUUGCGCGGUCUGCAGAUGCCCUUCACCUGAUUUAUGUUUAUUCAAAGAAGAAUCUUAACAGUAAAAAGAUCUCCUAUUGAAGAAGAAUGUUCAAGAACUGGGCUCUGGAUUCCAGCAUCUGCCUGGCCUGCUCUGUUGCUGCUUCAUCAAGAGAAGUCACUGUGCUGAGCAACUCCUAUCCUAUCACAUUACACAGUAUAUGCACCUUAAGAUCCUGAUGAAAAGGCAAAAUGUCCAAGUAAUGUUUAGGGAUAAUUUGUGAGGGCAAGUCCAAGAAACGAUGUGGUCAUCAGGAUGUUAAGCACCAUUUUCUUCUGGAUGAGUUAUCCUGAUGCUUCAUUAUCCUCCUCUUGCCCUGCGGCUGACAUAGAAGACAGUGUUUGAGUCAUCGGAGUUGGCUGUGCUGUGACCCACGCCAUCAGGACAUGGCUUCUGGUCUGUGCCUACUGGGGUGACGUUUGUCAUGUUGCUGCAUUGGUGCUCUGUGACAAGCAAGAGUCAUUUUUAACAACUUAGUGGUACACGCUCUGUCAUCUCAUCUGGAAUGUUUACUGACUCUGUGUAGUACCCAAAGGAAAUGUUACCAGAGAAUCCAUGAAUCCUGCGGAAGUGAUGGAAAUGAUUGACAGGUAUCCAAAGUGUUGCUGCAUCAAGCCAGAGUGCACUUACCAUUGCUGUAAUUGGAGGAUGUAUUCAGAAAAUGUACCAUCGCUGCCUGUAGGUGAUCAGUUGUGUAGGAGUUUCUUUUUCAAGAUGGUGUUUACACAUCCUGAAUUUAUAAGUUGUUAUAUUUAUAAGUUGUUAUAUUAUAUAUUUAUAUUGUGAGUACUUUUAAGUGUGUUAUUUUUUAAAAAGAUUUCAUUUAUUUAUUCAUGAGAGACACACACACAGAGAGAGAGGCAGAGACACAGACAGAGGAAGAAGCAGGUUACAGUUUCACACUGCCCAAGUGUGUUAUUUUUUACAAUUAAAAACAAACAGGGGGGCAGCCCCGGUGGCGCAGCAUUUUAGCGCCACCUGCAGCCCAGGGCGUGAUCCUGGAGACGCUGAAUCGAGUCCCAUGUCGGG